AGCGCCGCGUUUAACUGUCACACAACGGCAGCCACACUAUCCACUCCUCCUCCGGCGCGCGCCCUGUGGCUAAACCAAACACCUCCACCGGCAGGCAGCAGGACCCGGCGAGCGGGGUCAAAUGUGAUUCAAAGGCGGGGGGGAGGGAGUAGAAAGGGGGGGCUCUGCUAUGCUACGAAAAAAAAAAACUUACAGCUGAUUCACCCACUUCUAGCUGCAGACGAGAGGAGAAAGCCAUCCGACAGCAGCAACCAACUCUAUCAUCUCCACUAGAGGGAGGGCUAUCUCACAACAAGGCCACCAAGGAGCUGCAUCUGAGGGUCAGCAUGUGGUGAGUCAGUAGAAGCGAGCCAGCGAGCGCCUGAUCUCCGAGCGAGGCUUGUCAGCGUGGUCCUGAGUGGGCUGUGUGGAGCUUCUGUCAGAGAGUGUCACAUUUCCACGGCCCACACUGUGGCUCCUCUGUCCUCCUCAUGGCUGCAGCUCAAUGGGUCCUUUGAUGGGCCAACCCGAGGCCUUUCAUCAUCCAUCUCGCCACGGGGCACGGGGGCCAUGGGGGGUUGUGCCUCACAACACCUGGCAGAACGGAAAAGAACACGAUGAUGAGGGGCAGCGCUCAGACAUGGGGCAGUCACCAGACUGCUUCUCCUUUUAGAGGAAGUCAGCGCUUCCACCUGAACAUCUGGCUGUGCUCGAGCCCGCGUAGCCUCGGUGGCAGAAGCACGAGCGAUUACCCCUGCGCAGCCAGCCAAAACACAAAAAUCAAUAAACAAUCUCAACGUUUCUGAGGGCCUUUCGUCUGACUUAAUAAAUGUCUCAAUCCACUCUUAUGACUUCAUUUUGCUUUAACGUCUUCUUCAUGUGCAUCUUUUGCUGAUCAAUUAGAGAAUGGAGUGCCCCUUCUGUCACGACACCUGCCACCUGCCCUCCAUUCAAUGCUGCACACACACACACACGUGUCACAUGGCCACGAGGCACAAGGUGAACUGCUAUUUUAAUCCUUGAAAUAAGAUACCUUUUGAAAGCACUUCGUUAAAUGGCUCAUUAGAGGAUAGGUCACGCACUUCUUCCAGGUUUUUCUAUAUACAGUAUCAUGUGUUCAGUAAUUUUAUCUUGACCUAAGAGUUUUUUC
Molecule: long non-coding RNA, 1129 nt
Organism: Oreochromis aureus
Lineage: Eukaryota; Metazoa; Chordata; Actinopteri; Cichliformes; Cichlidae
Source: Ensembl